UAGAAAUACGUGGCAUACGGCUCAGUAACACGUAGUCAACAUGCCCAGGGGACGUGGAUAACCUCGGGAAACUGAGGAUAAACCGCGAUAGGCCAUGAUUUCUGGAAUGGUUCAUGGCCGAAAUCUAUAUGGCCCCUGGAUUGGACUGCGGCCGAUCAGGCUGUUGGUGAGGUAAUGGCCCACCAAACCUGUAACCGGUACGGGCUCUGAGAGGAGGAGCCCGGAGAUGGGCACUGAGACAAGGGCCCAGGCCCUAUGGGGCGCAGCAGGCGCGAAAUCUCUGCAAUAGGCGAAAGCUUGACAGGGUUACUCUGAGUGGUUCCCGUUAAGGGGAUCUUUUGGCACCUUUAAAAAUGGUGCAGAAUAAGGGGUGGGCAAGUCUGGUGUCAGCCGCCGCGGUAAUACCAGCACCCCGAGUGGUCGGGACGAUUAUUGGGCCUAAAGCAUCCGUAGCCGGUACUGCAAGUCUUCCGUUAAAUCCACCUGCUUAACAGUUGGGCUGCGGGGGAUACUACAGCGCUAGGAGGCGGGAGAGGCAAGCGGUACUCAAUGGGUAGGGGUAAAAUCCGCUGAUCCAUUGAAGACCACCAGUGGCGAAGGCGGCUUGCCAGAACGCGCUCGACGGUGAGGGAUGAAAGCUGGGGGAGCAAACCGGAUUAGAUACCCGGGUAGUCCCAGCUGUAAAC
This 686-nucleotide ribosomal RNA is filed under the name uncultured Nitrososphaerota archaeon. RNAcentral describes it as "bacterial SSU rRNA". It matches the Rfam family "Archaeal small subunit ribosomal RNA", at positions 69 to 758 of the family's 1478-position model. Lineage: Archaea; Thermoproteati; Nitrososphaerota. The record is from RNAcentral.